Molecule: long non-coding RNA, 3462 nt
Filed under: Manihot esculenta (cassava)
Lineage: Eukaryota; Viridiplantae; Streptophyta; Magnoliopsida; Malpighiales; Euphorbiaceae
Description: long non-coding RNA (MESC_LNC005202)
Source: RNAcentral
ACGAUUUCGGUAGUUUUGUUUGGUCCAAACAGGACAGAAGCAUCGCCUUCAAGCCUGUUGCGAGAGAAAUCGAGGACGUUGAAGUCCGUUUUGCCUAGAGAUGCAGGGAUUUUGCCUGAAAGUUGGUUAUGAGACAAGUAAAGAUAAGGUACUUUGCCUUGAAAUGCACCGAAUGAUUCUGGGAUGGAGCCUGUGAGCUUGUUCCUGUCCAAGUGAAGUGUCCCGAGAUUUGGCAAUAGAGCGAGUGAACUCGGUAUUGAUCCAGACAGGCUGUUAAAAGCCAGGUCCAACAACGUGAGACUCUUGAGUUGGCUAAGGAAGUCAGGUAUCGGUCCAGUGAGGCUUAGCCAACUAAGACUCAGAAUUUUGAGGCUUUUGAGCUUGGCAAUGGCGGGUUGUAUGGGGCCUGUAAUGUUUGUUAGCUUGUGGAACUCAAGGGUUUGGAGAUAAGGUAAAUCACCAACAGCAGGGGGGAUUUCGCCGGAAAGUUCACCGGCGAAAAUGGUGAGAGAAAUGAUACGGUGGUUGGUAGAAUCACACUUGACCUGGUACCAUUUGCAGCAAUCGGUGUCCGACUUCCAAGAGGCAAGAAGGUAAGGAUUGCCGAAGUGUUGUUUGAUUUGGAGGAGAACCUUUUUGUCAUGGUGGUUGCAGAGCUCUGAGAAGGAAAGAGAAAAGAGGGUAGAAAUGAGGAGCGAAAGGAAAAGAAUCCGCUUCAUAUUUGGAGAUGGGAAGUAAAGGUAUUGUUGAACUAGGCAAGAAGUGCGUGUUAUUUAUAGGCAAGAGAUUGAUGAUAUAUUUAUUUAUUUAUUAUUUUUCUUUUAUAAAAAAUUGAUUUAUUCCAUCGAUAAACCCAUGGGUCAAGGUACAAAUUACAUCACAAAUGAGAAACUGAUGGCAAAAAAAUAAAAGGCUACCCAAGGUCCAAAUCAGAAAAAGCAACAAACAAAUAGAGUCAACUAAACAACUUUUGGCCCAAAAAACAAGCUCUAAAAAGGAAAACUAAGCCUACGGCCCAAGGCCUACAGAGAAUACAGAAACCCAACCAAAGUAAAAACCCUAGUUUAUUGAGAGAGAAGCUUUUCUGGUUCCACCAUCAUUGAAGACGAGUAGAUGGAAGGAAGGGCAGAAGGCUGUGAAGGGAAAAGAACACUGGAACCCAAUACACCCAAAAUCGGAAGAGCCUAUUUCAAAUAAGGUAGUAGAAGCAAAGCAAACUAUCAAAAACGCUAAAGCCAAAACUUCAUCUAAGCAAUAAAGAGGAUGCAGCGCAGAUCUCUUCGACUUUAUAGCCCUUGAGGAUUGACUGUCCGAAAAAACAAAAGGAAACAUGUAGAGAUUUAUGAGAAUACAUACAUUAAAUAUAAGAGAAACCCUUCACAGCCAAAGAUGAUAGACAACAUGCAAUCUGAAACACAAAUAGACAGAGAAGGGUUUAGAUCCAAAGAAGACGAGACAGAGAAGGGUUUAUUAAAUAUUCUUUAGAACUUUUAUAAACUUUCCAUUUCAAUCCAUCAAUAAAUCUUUUUAAAAAAAACCCACGAAAAAUCUUAAAAUUAAAACAUUAUUUCUUUUCCAAACAAUAAUAAAAUUUAAAAAAUUAUAAAAAAUCUUACUUUAUAAAAUUAAAUUUAAAAAAAAAAUCUAAUUUUACUCUAUUUUCUCCCAAAUAAAAUAUGGACAGGAAGGGAUGGGGAACUUUCCCAUAAUGUAUGUAGUUUCAUUCCUGGUGGAUGUUAAUAAAAAAUUAUACAUAAAAAGUUCCCUAAUGUUAAAUUUUUUAAUAUCUAGAACAAAAAAUAACUUUAAGUUUGAUUAAAAAAUUAUUUAUUUAUUAAUAUUUUAAAAAUAUUUUAAAUAUAUAAAAUAUGAAAAGAAUAUAAAGAAUAUUUUCCAUGACUGAAAUUAUUAAAUUAAAAUGUGUCUUUACACUGGUAAUUUAAUUUGACUAUAAUUUGGUUUGGAUCAUGAACCAAAUUAUAACCAGUUGGAUUAUAUUAUAUUUAAAAUAGGUAUAAUCGAAAAAUUAAUAAAAAGUUUAUAUUUUUCAAUGUGAAAAAAUAAAAUAAAUAAAAAUUGUUAAAUGAAAAGAGUAUUAAUUAAUUAUUAUUAUUAUUAUAAAUUCAAAUAUUUAAUAAAAUAUAAUUUUAGUUUAUAUGUUUUUUUUAAAGUAAAUUUUAGUUUAUAUGUUUAAUGAGUUAAUAUGAAAUAAUAUAAAAAUGUGAAUAUUUAUUAGGAUCUUAAAAAUCGGGUCCUAAAAAAUAGAAUACCAAGUCAUGUGAUUGUAAUAUUUAACAAUAUAAUUUAUUAAAUAAAUUAUGAAAUUGCAUAAGCUGAUAUAAAUUAAUUCAUUUUAGAUGAAUAUUUUCUUCUAAAUUUUAAAUACUUAGAAAUUCAAAUUCGAAAUCAUUAAGUGAGAAAGAGUUUGUAGAACUUCUGGGUAACUAAUUAUAGACAUUUUUUAUUUUUUUAUUAAAUACAAAUUCACUCAUUAUUAAAAAAGGGAAUGCACAAUUAUAUUUAUUAAAGGUCAUAGCACAUAUUUAUGCUUACACAAAUCCAGCUUUGCCUUCUCAAAGGCAAUUAGAUUAACAAGGGAAUGAAAAUCUUCUCUGCCCACAGCCUCUCCUACUUGCAGCUUUCAAGAGGAGCGCCGCACAAGCAACGAUUAUGGAAAUACGUGUAGGAAUCAAAGCUCUGCAACUUACCACCCACAGGAAUCUGCCCACAAAGCCUGUUGUAACUCACAUUCAAGAGCUGCAUAGUCAGUUGAGUCAUCUGCUGGGGAAUGUUACCGUAGAUUUUGUUGUGAUUAAGGUCUAACGAUGUCAGGCUGCUCGGAAACACCACCUUUGACAAAUCAAAUGUCAACAGAUUCCUGGACAGAUCUACGAUUUGGGUAGUUUUAUUUGGCCCAAACAGGACAGAAGCAUCGCCUUCAAGCCUGUUGCGAGAGAAAUCGAGGACGUUGAAGUCCGUUUUGCCUAGAGAUGCAGGGAUUUUGCCUGAAAGUUGGUUAUGAGACAAGUAAAGAUAAGGUACUUUGCCUUGAAACGCACCGAAUGAUUCUGGGAUGGAGCCCGUGAGCUUGUUCCUGUCCAAGUGAAGUGUCCCGAGAUUUGGCAAUAGAGCGAGUGAACUCGGUAUUGAUCCAGACAGGCUGUUAAAAGCCAGGUCCAACAACGUGAGACUCUUGAGUUGGCUAAGGAAGUCAGGUACUGAACCAGUGAGGCUUAGCCAACUAAGCCUGAGAAAGUUGAGGCUUUUGAGCUUGGCAAUGGCGGGUUGUAUGGGGCCUGUAACGUUUGUUAGCUUGUGGAACUCAAGGGUCUGGAGAUAAGGCAAAUCACCAACAGCAGGGGGGAUUUCGCCGGAAAGUUCACCGGCGAAAAUGGUGAGGGAAAUGAUGCGGUGGGUGGUGGAAUCACACUCGACCUGAUACCAUUGUGUGCAGCAAUCGGU